Molecule: non-coding RNA, 134 nt
Organism: Podarcis lilfordi (Lilford's wall lizard)
Lineage: Eukaryota; Metazoa; Chordata; Lepidosauria; Squamata; Lacertidae
Source: the annotation of a GenBank genome assembly
AGGCAUGGCCAAACUUGGCCCUCCAGCUGUUUUGGGAUUACAAUUCCCAUCAUCCCUGACCACUGGUCCUGUUAGCUAGGGAUGAUGGGAGUUGUAGUCCCAAAACAGCUGGAGGGCCAAGUUUGGCCAUGCCU